UUAUGUCUUUGGUUGGGGCGACCGCGGGGGAAAACAAAGCCCCCAUGUGGACUGGGGGCACUGCCCCCACAACCAAGAGUCACAACUCUAAGUACCAGAAUUUCUGACCAAAAAUGAUCCGGCAUCACGCCGAUCAACGGACCGAGUUACCCUAGGGAUAACAGCGCAAUCCUCUCCCAGAGUCCCUAUCGACGAGGGGGUUUACGACCUCGAUGUUGGAUCAGGACA
RNAcentral lists this ribosomal RNA (228 nucleotides) under Salmo salar (Atlantic salmon). RNAcentral's name for it is "partial 16S ribosomal RNA". It matches the Rfam family "Bacterial large subunit ribosomal RNA", at positions 2262 to 2544 of the family's 2925-position model. The record is from RNAcentral. Lineage: Eukaryota; Metazoa; Chordata; Actinopteri; Salmoniformes; Salmonidae.